This 175-nucleotide ribosomal RNA is filed under the name Dryaderces pearsoni (Pearson's slender-legged treefrog). RNAcentral describes it as "Osteocephalus pearsoni (Pearson's slender-legged treefrog) partial 16S ribosomal RNA". The record is from RNAcentral. Lineage: Eukaryota; Metazoa; Chordata; Amphibia; Anura; Hylidae.
ACGUGAUCUGAGUUCAGACCGGAGCAAUCCAGGUCGGUUUCUAUCUAUAACGGAGUUUUAUCUAGUACGAAAGGACCGAGAAAACAUGGCCUAUACUUCAUGCAAGCCAUACAUAACAACUUAUGACUUAAUCUUAAUAAGCAUUUGAUCUCCCACCAAACUCAAAAAAAGAGUA